Molecule: ribosomal RNA, 402 nt
Filed under: Klebsiella pneumoniae
Lineage: Bacteria; Pseudomonadati; Pseudomonadota; Gammaproteobacteria; Enterobacterales; Enterobacteriaceae
Description: bacterial SSU rRNA
Rfam family: Bacterial small subunit ribosomal RNA
Source: RNAcentral
CCGGGAACUCAAAGGAGACUGCCAGUGAUAAACUGGAGGAAGGUGGGGAUGACGUCAAGUCAUCAUGGCCCUUACGACCAGGGCUACACACGUGCUACAAUGGCAUAUACAAAGAGAAGCGACCUCGCGAGAGCAAGCGGACCUCAUAAAGUAUGUCGUAGUCCGGAUUGGAGUCUGCAACUCGACUCCAUGAAGUCGGAAUCGCUAGUAAUCGUAGAUCAGAAUGCUACGGUGAAUACGUUCCCGGGCCUUGUACACACCGCCCGUCACACCAUGGGAGUGGGUUGCAAAAGAAGUAGGUAGCUUAACCUUCGGGAGGGCGCUUACCACUUUGUGAUUCAUGACUGGGGUGAAGUCGUAACAAGGUAACCGUAGGGGAACCUGCGGUUGGAUCACCUCCUU